Molecule: ribosomal RNA, 251 nt
Filed under: uncultured bacterium
Lineage: Bacteria
Description: partial 16S ribosomal RNA
Rfam family: Bacterial small subunit ribosomal RNA
Source: RNAcentral
UACGAAGGGGGCUAGCGUUGUUCGGAUUUACUGGGCGUAAAGCGCACGUAGGCGGAUCGUUAAGUCGGGGUGAAAUCCUGGAGCUCAACUCCAGAACUGCCUUCGAUACUGGCGAUCUUGAGUCCGGAAGAGGUGAGUGGAACUCCUAGUGUAGAGGUGGAAUUCGUAGAUAUUAGGAAGAACACCAGUGGCGAAGGCGGCUCACUGGUCCGGUACUGACGCUGAGGUGCGAAAGCGUGGGAGCAAACAGG